GACGAACGCUGGCGGCGUGCUUAACACAUGCAAGUCGAACGAAGUGGCGAACGGGUGAGUAACGCGUAAUCAACCUGCCCUUCAGGGGGGGAUAACAGUUGGAAACGACUGCUAAUACCGCAUAAUGACGGAGGGGAUUGCGGCUGAGUAGCUAGUGGGAGGGGUAACGGCCCACCAAGGCGAUGAUCAGUAGCCGGUCUGAGAGGAUGAACGGCCACAUUGGGACUGGGACACGGCCCAGACUCCUACGGGAGGCAGCAGUUGGGAAUCUUCCGCAAUGGACGAAAGGCUGACGGAGCAACCCCGCGUGAGUGAUGACGGCCUUCGGGUUGUAAAGCUCUGUUAAUCGGGACGCGGUACCGGAAUAGAAAGCCACGGCUAACUACGUGCCAGCAGCCGCGGUAAUUC
This 408-nucleotide ribosomal RNA is filed under the name uncultured bacterium. RNAcentral describes it as "partial 16S ribosomal RNA". It matches the Rfam family "Bacterial small subunit ribosomal RNA", at positions 28 to 526 of the family's 1533-position model. The record is from RNAcentral.